Molecule: ribosomal RNA, 405 nt
Filed under: uncultured bacterium
Lineage: Bacteria
Description: partial 16S ribosomal RNA
Rfam family: Bacterial small subunit ribosomal RNA
Source: RNAcentral
AUUGAACGCUGGCGGCAGGCCUAACACAUGCAAGUCGAACGAGUGGCGGACGGGUGAGUAAUGCUUGGGAAUCUAGCUUAUGGAGGGGGAUAACUACGGGAAACUGUAGCUAAUACCGCGUACCAUAGGAUGAGCCCAAGUGGGAUUAGGUAGUUGGUGAGGUAAAGGCUCACCAAGCCGACGAUCUCUAGCUGGUCUGAGAGGAUGACCAGGCACAAGGGGAAUUAGACACGGCCCAGAACCCUAAGAGAGGGAGCCGUGGGGAAUAUUGCACAAUGGGGGCAACCUGACGCAGCCAUGGCGGGGGAAUGAAGAAGGCCUUCGGGUUGUAAAGUUCUUUCCGUGAGGAGGCGUUAACUACAGAAGAAGCACCGGCUAACUCCGUGCCAGCAGCCGCGGUAAUUC